UUAAGCGACUAAGCGUACACGGUGGAUGCCCUGGCAGUCAGAGGCGAUGAAGGACGUGCUAAUCUGCGAUAAGCGUCGGUAAGGUGAUAUGAACCGUUAUAACCGGCGAUUUCCGAAUGGGGAAACCCAGUGUGAUUCGUCACACUAUCAUUAACUGAAUCCAUAGGUUAAUGAGGCGAACCGGGGGAACUGAAACAUCUAAGUACCCCGAGGAAAAGAAAUCAACCGAGAUUCCCCCAGUAGCGGCGAGCGAACGGGGAGGAGCCCAGAGCCUGAAUCAGUGUGUGUGUUAGUGGAAGCGUCUGGAAAGGCGCGCGAUACAGGGUGACAGCCCCGUACACAAAAAUGCACAUGCUGUGAGCUCGAUGAGUAGGGCGGGACACGUGGUAUCCUGUCUGAAUAUGGGGGGACCAUCCUCCAAGGCUAAAUACUCCUGACUGACCGAUAGUGAACCAGUACCGUGAGGGAAAGGCGAAAAGAACCCCGGCGAGGGGAGUGAAAAAGAACCUGAAACCGUGUACGUACAAGCAGUGGGAGCCUCUUAAUGGGGUGACUGCGUACCUUUUGUAUAAUGGGUCAGCGACUUAUAUUCUGUAGCAAGGUUAACCGAAUAGGGGAGCCGAAGGGAAACCGAGUCUUAACUGGGCGUUAAGUUGCAGGGUAUAGACCCGAAACCCGGUGAUCUAGCCAUGGGCAGGUUGAAGGUUGGGUAACACUAACUGGAGGACCGAACCGACUAAUGUUGAAAAAUUAGCGGAUGACUUGUGGCUGGGGGUGAAAGGCCAAUCAAACCGGGAGAUAGCUGGUUCUCCCCGAAAGCUAUUUAGGUAGCGCCUCGUGAAUUCAUCUCCGGGGGUAGAGCACUGUUUCGGCAAGGGGGUCAUCCCGACUUACCAACCCGAUGCAAACUGCGAAUACCGGAGAAUGUUAUCACGGGAGACACACGGCGGGUGCUAACGUCCGUCGUGAAGAGGGAAACAACCCAGACCGCCAGCUAAGGUCCCAAAGUCAUGGUUAAGUGGGAAACGAUGUGGGAAGGCCCAGACAGCCAGGAUGUUGGCUUAGAAGCAGCCAUCAUUUAAAGAAAGCGUAAUAGCUCACUGGUCGAGUCGGCCUGCGCGGAAGAUGUAACGGGGCUAAACCAUGCACCGAAGCUGCGGCAGCGACACUAUGUGUUGUUGGGUAGGGGAGCGUUCUGUAAGCCUGCGAAGGUGUACUGUGAGGUAUGCUGGAGGUAUCAGAAGUGCGAAUGCUGACAUAAGUAACGAUAAAGCGGGUGAAAAGCCCGCUCGCCGGAAGACCAAGGGUUCCUGUCCAACGUUAAUCGGGGCAGGGUGAGUCGACCCCUAAGGCGAGGCCGAAAGGCGUAGUCGAUGGGAAACAGGUUAAUAUUCCUGUACUUGGUGUUACUGCGAAGGGGGGACGGAGAAGGCUAUGUUGGCCGGGCGACGGUUGUCCCGGUUUAAGCGUGUAGGCUGGUUUUCCAGGCAAAUCCGGAAAAUCAAGGCUGAGGCGUGAUGACGAGGCACUACGGUGCUGAAGCAACAAAUGCCCUGCUUCCAGGAAAAGCCUCUAAGCAUCAGGUAACAUCAAAUCGUACCCCAAACCGACACAGGUGGUCAGGUAGAGAAUACCAAGGCGCUUGAGAGAACUCGGGUGAAGGAACUAGGCAAAAUGGUGCCGUAACUUCGGGAGAAGGCACGCUGAUAUGUAGGUGAAGUCCCUCGCGGAUGGAGCUGAAAUCAGUCGAAGAUACCAGCUGGCUGCAACUGUUUAUUAAAAACACAGCACUGUGCAAACACGAAAGUGGACGUAUACGGUGUGACGCCUGCCCGGUGCCGGAAGGUUAAUUGAUGGGGUUAGCGCAAGCGAAGCUCUUGAUCGAAGCCCCGGUAAACGGCGGCCGUAACUAUAACGGUCCUAAGGUAGCGAAAUUCCUUGUCGGGUAAGUUCCGACCUGCACGAAUGGCGUAAUGAUGGCCAGGCUGUCUCCACCCGAGACUCAGUGAAAUUGAACUCGCUGUGAAGAUGCAGUGUACCCGCGGCAAGACGGAAAGACCCCGUGAACCUUUACUAUAGCUUGACACUGAACAUUGAGCCUUGAUGUGUAGGAUAGGUGGGAGGCUUUGAAGUGUGGACGCCAGUCUGCAUGGAGCCGACCUUGAAAUACCACCCUUUAAUGUUUGAUGUUCUAACGUUGGCCCCUGAUCGGGGUUGCGGACAGUGUCUGGUGGGUAGUUUGACUGGGGCGGUCUCCUCCUAAAGAGUAACGGAGGAGCACGAAGGUUGGCUAAUCCUGGUCGGACAUCAGGAGGUUAGUGCAAUGGCAUAAGCCAGCUUGACUGCGAGCGUGACGGCGCGAGCAGGUGCGAAAGCAGGUCAUAGUGAUCCGGUGGUUCUGAAUGGAAGGGCCAUCGCUCAACGGAUAAAAGGUACUCCGGGGAUAACAGGCUGAUACCGCCCAAGAGUUCAUAUCGACGGCGGUGUUUGGCACCUCGAUGUCGGCUCAUCACAUCCUGGGGCUGAAGUAGGUCCCAAGGGUAUGGCUGUUCGCCAUUUAAAGUGGUACGCGAGCUGGGUUUAGAACGUCGUGAGACAGUUCGGUCCCUAUCUGCCGUGGGCGCUGGAGAACUGAGGGGGGCUGCUCCUAGUACGAGAGGACCGGAGUGGACGCAUCACUGGUGUUCGGGUUGUCAUGCCAAUGGCACUGCCCGGUAGCUAAAUGCGGAAGAGAUAAGUGCUGAAAGCAUCUAAGCACGAAACUUGCCCCGAGAUGAGUUCUCCCUGACUCCCUGAGAGUCCUGAAGGAACGUUGAAGACGACGACGUUGAUAGGCCGGGUGUGUAAGCGCAGCGAUGCGUUGAGCUAACCGGUACUAAUGAACCGUGAGGCUUAACCU
RNAcentral lists this ribosomal RNA (2899 nucleotides) under Escherichia coli. RNAcentral describes it as "23S ribosomal RNA". It matches the Rfam family "Bacterial large subunit ribosomal RNA". Lineage: Bacteria; Pseudomonadati; Pseudomonadota; Gammaproteobacteria; Enterobacterales; Enterobacteriaceae. The record is from RNAcentral.